RNAcentral lists this long non-coding RNA (416 nucleotides) under Capsella rubella. Its description in RNAcentral is "long non-coding RNA (CRUB_LNC000806)". The record is from RNAcentral. Lineage: Eukaryota; Viridiplantae; Streptophyta; Magnoliopsida; Brassicales; Brassicaceae.
UCGUUAAUGGGUCAAUUAGGAAAACUAAGAAUAUUAGUGGAUAAGUACUAGCUAGUACCUAAACCUCAAUAAUUUAUAGUCCCUAGUUGAAAACACUUUUUUUUUUUUUGAAAUUCUAGCCGACUCGUGUGUUGUUACUGUUGAAGGUUGAUGAGAGAAGAACAUACUAGUGAUUAGGAAAUAUUAUAUUGACUCUCAUGAAGAUUACAAUAAUAGUUACAUAUGUUUAUAUAGGGAGGAGAUGCUAAACCUAAAUGAUAUAGUUUCCUAAUAUACAUAAAUACAUAAAUGAGAUAAUUAUGAGAAAUAUAUUCAAAGAUAUUCUAACUUAUUCUACACACUUCUAUAGUUACUUGUUAGUUCAUCAAUUCUCAAAAAUAUGGAGUAGUAUACUUUUAGAAUUUGUUUGGUUUGCC